RNAcentral lists this transfer RNA (86 nucleotides) under Verrucomicrobiia bacterium. RNAcentral describes it as "tRNA-Leu". It matches the Rfam family "tRNA". From Rfam's summary of the family: Transfer RNA (tRNA) molecules are approximately 80 nucleotides in length. Their secondary structure includes four short double-helical elements and three loops (D, anti-codon, and T loops). The record is from RNAcentral. RNAcentral also lists the same sequence under 1 other name. Lineage: Bacteria; Pseudomonadati; Verrucomicrobiota; Verrucomicrobiia.
GCCAGGGUGGCGAAAUUGGUAGACGCGCUUGACUUAGGAUCAAGUGGAUCAACUCCGUGCAGGUUCGAGUCCUGUCCCUGGUACCA